UGGGAAUUUUGGACAAUGGGCGCAAGCCUGAUCCAGCAAUGCCGCGUGCAGGAUGAAGGCCUUCGGGUUGUAAACUGCUUUUGUACGGAACGAAACGGCUCUGUCUAAUACAGAGACUUAAUGACGGUACCUGAAGAAUAAGCACCGGCUAACUACGUGCCAGCAGCCGCGGUAAUACGUAGGGUGCAAGCGUUAAUCGGAAUUACUGGGCGUAAAGCGUGCGCAGGCGGUUAUGCAAGACAGAGGUGAAAUCCCCGGGCUCAACCUGGGAACUGCCUUUGUGACUGCAUAGCUAGAGUACGGUAGAGGGGGAUGGAAUUCCGCGUGUAGCAGUGAAAUGCGUAGAUAUGCGGAGGAACACCGAUGGCGAAGGCAAUCCCCUGGGCCUGCACUGACGCUCAUGCACGAAAGCGUGGGGAGCAAACA
Molecule: ribosomal RNA, 426 nt
Filed under: uncultured bacterium
Lineage: Bacteria
Description: bacterial SSU rRNA
Rfam family: Bacterial small subunit ribosomal RNA
Source: RNAcentral